Molecule: ribosomal RNA, 170 nt
Filed under: Ramariopsis sp.
Lineage: Eukaryota; Fungi; Basidiomycota; Agaricomycetes; Agaricales; Clavariaceae
Description: partial large subunit ribosomal RNA
Rfam family: Eukaryotic large subunit ribosomal RNA
Source: RNAcentral
AGGGAAGAGCUCAAAUUUAAAAUCUGGCUGUCUUUGGCAGUCCGAGUUGUAGUUUAGAGAAGUGUUAUCAGCGCUGGCCUGUGCAAAAGUUUCUUGGAAAAGAACAUCAUAGAGGGUGACAAUCCCGUCUUUGGCACAGAUUACCGGGGCUUUUGUGAUGCGCUCUCAAC